AUUGAACGCUGGCGGCAGGCCUAACACAUGCAAGUCGAGCGGAUGAAGGGAGCUUGCUCCUGGAUUCAGCGGCGGACGGGUGAGUAAUGCCUAGGAAUCUGCCUGGUCGUGGGGGAUAACGUCCGUAAACGGGCGCUAAUACCGCAUACGUCCUGAGGGAGAAAGUGGGGGAUCUUCGGACCUCACGCUAUCAGCUGAGCCUAGGUCGGAUUAGCUAGUUGGUGGGGUAAAGGCCUACCAAGGCGACGAUCCGUAACUGGUCUGAGAGGAUGAUCAGUCACACUGGAACUGAGACACGGUCCAGACUCCUACGGGAGGCAGCAGUGGGGAAUAUUGGACAAUGGGCGAAAGCCUGAUCCAGCCAUGCCGCGUGUGUGAAGAAGGUCUUCGGAUUGUAAAGCACUUUAAGUUGGGAGGAAGGGAAGUAAGUUAAUACCUUGCUGUUUUGACGUUACCAACAGAAUAAGCACCGGCUAACUUCGUG
RNAcentral lists this ribosomal RNA (484 nucleotides) under uncultured bacterium. RNAcentral describes it as "partial 16S ribosomal RNA". It matches the Rfam family "Bacterial small subunit ribosomal RNA", at positions 30 to 507 of the family's 1533-position model. The record is from RNAcentral.